RNAcentral lists this unclassified non-coding RNA (323 nucleotides) under soil metagenome. RNAcentral describes it as "partial contains 5.8S ribosomal RNA, internal transcribed spacer 2, and large subunit ribosomal RNA". The stretch from base 1 to 120 matches the Rfam family "5.8S ribosomal RNA", at positions 35 to 154 of the family's 154-position model. The record is from RNAcentral.
GAUGAAGAACGCAGCGAAAUGCGAUAAGUAAUGCGAAUUGCAGAAUUCAGUGAGUCAUCGAAUCUUUGAACGCACAUUGCGCCCUGUGGUAUUCCGCAGGGCAUGCCUGUUCGAGCGUCAUUUCAACCCUCAAGCUCUGCUUGGUGUUGGGCCCUGCCCGCUGCGGCCGGCCCUAAAGACAGUGGCGGUGCCGCCUGGCCCUGAGCGUAGUACAUCUCUCGCUCCAGUGCCCGGUGGUAGCCUGCCAGAACCCCAACUCUCGUGGUUGACCUCGGAUCAGGUAGGGAUACCCGCUGAACUUAAGCAUAUCAAUAAGCGGAUGA